Molecule: unclassified non-coding RNA, 223 nt
Filed under: Hevea brasiliensis (rubber tree)
Lineage: Eukaryota; Viridiplantae; Streptophyta; Magnoliopsida; Malpighiales; Euphorbiaceae
Source: RNAcentral
GUACCUGGUCGUUGAGAUUCGGAAACGGAAGUGAGGAAAGACAUAAGUCCAGCUCUGCCGAAGAAUUUGGCGACGAAGACAGUGGCAUUGGCUUGAGCAUGAGAGCUUUCAAUGCCUUGUAAACUUUGUCUGAGUAUGCAAUUCUCAUUGCAACCUUUCCUGAGAAUUCGACAGCCGUUGCAACUCAUGAUGAGAAAACGUAAACGUAAACGUAAAAUUCUUU